GUGGGGAAUAUUGGGCAAUGGGGGCAACCCUGACCCAGCGACGCCGCGUGGGUGAAGAAAUCCCUCGGGAUGUAAAGCCCUGUUGUAUGGGAAGAGCAGAAGACGGUACCAUACGAGGAAGCCCCGGCAAACUACGUGCCAGCAGCCGCGGUAAUACGUAGGGGGCAAGCGUUGUCCGGAAUUACUGGGCGUAAAGCGCACGCAGGCUGAAUUAUAAGUCGGUAGUCAAAUACGGAGGCUCAACUUCCGGAUAUCUAUCGAUACUGUAAAUCUAGAGUAUGUGAGAGGGAAGCGGAAUUCCCGGGGUAGCGGUGAAAUGCGUAGAUAUCGGGAGGAACACCAGUGGCGAAGGCGGCUUCCUGGCACAAUACUGACGCUCAUGUGCGAAAGCUAGGGCAGCGAACGGGAUUAGAUACCCUAGUAGUCC
This 427-nucleotide ribosomal RNA is filed under the name uncultured bacterium. Its description in RNAcentral is "partial 16S ribosomal RNA". It matches the Rfam family "Bacterial small subunit ribosomal RNA", at positions 354 to 796 of the family's 1533-position model. The record is from RNAcentral.